GCUCUCCCUCCCGCUCCCGGGCUCGGCGCUCUCCCGGCGGGCCGGGCUCCGGCUCCGCCUUGCGCACUUGCCGGGAGCGGCUUCCCAGUGCAGACUGGGGUUCGCUUUCUGCCUUUUUGUGUUUUGCCGUUUUCCCUGCCUUCCCCACCCGGAUUAAACCCUCGAGGCUGGAUCCCGUGGGGCGGGUCCCCCGCCGGCGUCCCGAGGGCUGCGCGGGAGGCGCUCGGCACCCCCGGGCUGGGCGGCCGGGCAGCGGGUGGGCUCGGAGUGCGGGGUCCGCUCCGGCUGCGCGCGCCGAGCUCCUGGGGGCACUGGUAGGAAUUAAUGAGUUGUUUCUCGCCCCCGGGGCACCCCCAGUGCCUGGCACUCAGCGGGCGCCCGGUAAGUAUUUGUUGAAUGAAGGGGCAGUGGACGUCUGAGUUCACCCCCUGGAGCUUGAACUGACACCACGAGAGCCGGAAGGCGGACUCCGGGGCAGACGCGAUCUCCCGCGGCCGCCGCUGAGCGCCUGCAAAGCAGGGAGGAGUCCCGAGCUGAAGAAAUUCAAACCCUCAGGCUCAAGGGAGAAGUCCUCCGAGAGACCUCCCCUUUCCAACAGACCAGCAUCCGUACGGAGAAGGGACCUGGCACAGCCACGUCUUUUUCGUUCCCUGUAGUGUUUGGACAAAGAGCCCAAACGCAGAGCCUGCUCGUUUGAACCGCCUGCCCUAGGCUCCUGUGGGCACCCUUUGGAAGUCGCCUCCCGGAGCUCACUCUUUCCUGGAAAGACCUCAAGAAUGGAGAUUGGCUCUGAGUCCGGGGUGGAGUGGGGGGCUUGCUGCCUCCCACGGAGAGUGAAGCCUCGGUAAAUGUUCCCCGUGUGGGAAAAUGCCUCUUGAAAGAAACUGUUUGGUCCUUGCAGUCUGUGAAGGUUUUCUGCCUAUUUGGAACAUGAAAGGAAGAUAAACAUGUAGAAAAUAGAGUGAAACUUGAUUGCGAAAUUAGUGCAUUUUAACUUUGAUAACUUUUUGUAAAGCCAGAUGUGAAACUUAAAAAAAAAGUUUUGUUCACAGUAACUCCUGGGGCUUACUUUCCUCUCCAUCAACAAAUGGAUGUUUAAGGGCCAGCCCCAGUGGCUCAGUGGUUAGGUUCGGCGCGCUCUGCUUCAGCGGUCCGGGUUGGGUUCAAGGACUCACUUCUUCACACCUUCCUCAGCAACAACUUCUUGCAGACCAUUAGGAGCUGGAGCGUUU
This 1232-nucleotide long non-coding RNA is filed under the name Equus asinus (donkey). Its description in RNAcentral is "lncRNA (ENSEASG00005027866.1)". Lineage: Eukaryota; Metazoa; Chordata; Mammalia; Perissodactyla; Equidae. The record is from RNAcentral.